UACGGGGGGGGCAAGCGUUGUUCGGAAUUACUGGGCGUAAAGGGCUCGUAGGCGGCCAACUAAGGCAGACGUGAAAUCCCUCGGCUUAACCGGGGAACUGCGUCUGAUACUGGUUGGCUUGAAUCCGGGAGAGGGAUGUGGAAUUCCAGGUGUAGCGGUGAAAUGCGUAGAUAUCAGGAGGAACACCGGUGGCGAAGGCGGGUCUCUGGGCCGAUACUGACGCUGAGGAGCGAAAGCGUGGGGAGCGAACAG
RNAcentral lists this ribosomal RNA (252 nucleotides) under uncultured bacterium. RNAcentral's name for it is "partial 16S ribosomal RNA". It matches the Rfam family "Bacterial small subunit ribosomal RNA", at positions 524 to 775 of the family's 1533-position model. The record is from RNAcentral.